Molecule: ribosomal RNA, 262 nt
Filed under: uncultured bacterium
Lineage: Bacteria
Description: partial 16S ribosomal RNA
Rfam family: Bacterial small subunit ribosomal RNA
Source: RNAcentral
CAGCCGCCGCGGUAAUAUGUAGGGUGCGAGCGUUGUCCGGAAUUAUUGGGCGUAAAGGGCUCGUAGGCGGUUUGUCGCGUCGGGAGUGAAAACACCGGGCUUAACUCGGUGCUUGCUUUCGAUACGGGCAGACUAGAGGUAUGCAGGGGAGAACGGAAUUCCUGGUGUAGCGGUGAAAUGCGCAGAUAUCAGGAGGAACACCGGUGGCGAAGGCGGUUCUCUGGGCAUUACCUCGACGCUGAGGAGCGAAGUAGUGGGGAGG